CUUGUUCUUGCAGCUGGUGGGCGUUGUUUCCUUGUACAACAGUUGUGGUUUCUGACUCAUUCAGUCGGUUCCAGUUGCAGUCCAGAUUUAUAGUGUAGCUGCAGUUUUGCUUGAUGAUUCAGUAAAUUGUCAAAUUAUAAAAACUGGACUUUGCUUAAAUAUCUAAAAAUGACUGUGACUGAAAUUUCAGUGUGGGCAUUUAUCUCAUUAGCCUAGAUAGCUGGUUUAUUAUU
Pelobates cultripes (western spadefoot toad) is the source of this 233-nucleotide non-coding RNA. The record is from the annotation of a GenBank genome assembly. NCBI's taxonomy places the organism in Eukaryota, Metazoa, Chordata, Amphibia, Anura, Pelobatidae.